This 405-nucleotide ribosomal RNA is filed under the name uncultured bacterium. Its description in RNAcentral is "bacterial SSU rRNA". It matches the Rfam family "Bacterial small subunit ribosomal RNA", at positions 355 to 776 of the family's 1533-position model. The record is from RNAcentral.
CAGGGAAUUUUGCGCAAUGGGCGAAAGCUUGACGCAGCGACGCCGCGUGAGGGAAGACGGCCUUAGGGUUGUAAACCUCUUUUCUGGGGGAAGAGCAAGGACGGUACCCCAGGAAUAAGCCCCGGCUAACUACGUGCCAGCAGCCGCGGUAAUACGUAGGGGGCAAGCGUUGUCCGGAGUUAUUGGGCGUAAAGAGCGCGUAGGCGGUUCAGGAAGUCUUCGGUGAAAUCUCCCGGCUCAACCGGGAGCGGUCCGAGGAAACUCUUGGGCUUGAGGAUAGCAGAGGAGGGUGGAAUUCCCGGUGUAGUGGUGAAAUGCGUAGAUAUCGGGAGGAACACCAGUGGCGAAGGCGGCCCUCUGGGCUAUACCUGACGCUGAGGCGCGAAAGCGUGGGGAGCGAACCGG